Molecule: ribosomal RNA, 468 nt
Filed under: uncultured bacterium
Lineage: Bacteria
Description: partial 16S ribosomal RNA
Rfam family: Bacterial small subunit ribosomal RNA
Source: RNAcentral
GGGGGGGGGGGGGGGGGGGGUGGGGGGGGGGGGGGGGGGGGGGGGGGCGCUGCGUUGGUGGGGUGGUCGGGGGGCGAACGGGUGGGUGACACGUGAGGACCCUGCCCGUGCCUUUGGGAUGACUUCGGGAGACUGUGGCUAAUACCGGAUAGGAGCUCCUGCUGCAUGGUGUGGGUUGGAACUUUUCGGCGGUUGGGGAUGUACUCGCGGCUUCUCAGCUUGUUGGUGGGUGAGUGGCUUACCAAGGCUUUGACGGGUAGCCGGCCUGAGAGGGUGACCGGCCACAUUGGGACUGAGAUACGGCCCAGACUCCUACGGGAGGCAGCAGUGGGGAAUAUUGCACAAUGGGCGGAAGCCUGAUGCAGCAACGCCGCGUGCGGGAUGACGGCCUGCGGGGUGUAAACCGCUUGCGCCUGUGACGAAGCGUGAGUGACGGUAAUGGGUAAAGAAGCACCGGCUAACUACGUG